CCUUGACAUACUAAGAACUUUCCAGAGAUGGAUUGGUGCCUUCGGGAACUUAGAUACAGGUGCUGCAUGGCUGUCGUCAGCUCGUGUCGUGAGAUGUUGGGUUAAGUCCCGCAACGAGCGCAACCCUUUUCCUUAUUUGCCAGCGGGUCAUGCCGGGAACUUUAAGGAUACUGCCAGUGACAAACUGGAGGAAGGCGGGGACGACGUCAAGUCAUCAUGGCCCUUACGGCCAGGGCUACACACGUGCUACAAUGGUCGGUACAAAGGGUUGCUACCUCGCGAGAGGAUGCUAAUCUCAAAAAGCCGAUCGUAGUCCGGAUCGCAGUCUGCAACUCGACUGCGUGAAGUCGGAAUCGCUGGUAAUCGCGGAUCAGAAUGCCGCGGUGAAUACGUUCCCGGGCCUUGUACACACCGCCCGUCACACCAUGGGAGUUUGUUGCACCAGAAGUAGGUAGUCUAACCGCAAGGAGGACGCUUACCACGGUGUGGCCGAUGACUGGGGUGAAGUCGUAACAAGGUAGGCGUAGAUGA
RNAcentral lists this ribosomal RNA (531 nucleotides) under uncultured bacterium. RNAcentral's name for it is "bacterial SSU rRNA". It matches the Rfam family "Bacterial small subunit ribosomal RNA", at positions 979 to 1509 of the family's 1533-position model. The record is from RNAcentral.